This 379-nucleotide transfer-messenger RNA is filed under the name Candidatus Desulfovibrio trichonymphae. Its description in RNAcentral is "Desulfovibrio trichonymphae Standard tmRNA". It matches the Rfam family "transfer-messenger RNA". From Rfam's summary of the family: Bacterial tmRNA, also known as 10Sa RNA or SsrA, is named for its dual tRNA and mRNA-like properties. The record is from Rfam by way of RNAcentral. RNAcentral also lists the same sequence under 1 other name. Lineage: Bacteria; Pseudomonadati; Thermodesulfobacteriota; Desulfovibrionia; Desulfovibrionales; Desulfovibrionaceae.
GGGGGCGCACCGGUUUCGACGGGGACGUGGAAUCCGGAGUGGCAGGCCGAGGCGCCGCUGGCCUCGUUAAAAGCGGCAACACAGUAAUUGCCAACAACGAUUACGACUACGCUUACGCUGCCUAGGCAACGGAGCAAAUGACCGCGCAAGUCGGUCACGUUGUUCAGGAUCACGCCUGAUAAUCCCGAACAACGACACUUUUCAGGCUGGCGAAAAUCGGCGCUUGCCGGGAUUUUUUCGUGAGAUGUUACCGGCGGGCUUGCUGUACCGCGGCUGAUCAGGGUCUACCGGUAUGGCGAAAAUCAAGCCUGAUCUAAGCCUGUAGAUGCUUCGCGUGGAAUGCUCUCGGACGGGGGUUCAACUCCCCCCGCCUCCACCA